RNAcentral lists this non-coding RNA (130 nucleotides) under Candidatus Omnitrophota bacterium. RNAcentral's name for it is "Omnitrophica WOR FMN sequence". It matches the Rfam family "FMN riboswitch aptamer (RFN element)". From Rfam's summary of the family: The RFN element is a highly conserved domain that is found frequently in the 5'-untranslated regions of prokaryotic mRNAs that encode for flavin mononucleotide (FMN) biosynthesis and transport proteins. This element is a metabolite-dependent riboswitch that directly binds FMN in the absence of proteins. In Bacillus subtilis, the riboswitch most likely controls gene expression by causing premature transcription termination within the 5' untranslated region of the ribDEAHT operon and precluding access to the ribosome-binding site of ypaA mRNA. Lineage: Bacteria; Pseudomonadati; Candidatus Omnitrophota. The record is from RNAcentral.
ACCAAUCUUCGGGGAGAGGCGCAAUUCCUCAACCGGCGGUGAGAGCCCGCGACUCUGCCAGAGAACGUUGGCAGACUGAUCUGGUAAGAUUCCAGAGCCGAUGGUAUAGUCCAGAUGGAAGAAGAUUAAA